GACGAACGCUGGCGGCGUGCUUAACACAUGCAAGUCGAACGAUGAAGCCGGAGCUUGCGCCGGUGGAUUAGUGGCGAACGGGUGAGUAACACGUGAGCAAUCUGCCAUUGACUCUGGAAUAACAGCGGGAAACUGUAGCUAAUACCGGAUACGACACCUUGGGGCAUCCCAGGGGGUGGAAAGGAUUUCGGUCAAGGAUGAGCUCGCGGCCUAUCAGCUAGUUGGUGAGGUAAUGGCUCACCAAGGCGACGACUGGUAGCCGGCCUGAGAGGGUAAGCGGCCACAAUGGAACUGAGACACGGUCCAGACUCCUACGGGAGGCAGCAGUGGGGAAUAUUGCACAAUGGGAGAAAGCCUGAUGCAGCAAAGCCGCGUGAGGGAUGAAGGCCUUCGGGUUGUAAACCUCUUUUAGCAGGGAAGAAGCGAAAGUGACGGUACCUGCAGAAAAAGCACCGGCUAACUACGUGCCAGCCGCCGCCGUAA
Molecule: ribosomal RNA, 483 nt
Filed under: uncultured bacterium
Lineage: Bacteria
Description: partial 16S ribosomal RNA
Rfam family: Bacterial small subunit ribosomal RNA
Source: RNAcentral